Molecule: ribosomal RNA, 679 nt
Filed under: uncultured bacterium
Lineage: Bacteria
Description: bacterial SSU rRNA
Rfam family: Bacterial small subunit ribosomal RNA
Source: RNAcentral
GAAUAGCUUGCUAGUUGUAUUCUUAGUGGCGCACGGGUGAGUAACACGUGAGUAACAUGCCUCGCAGAGGGGAAUAGCCCGCCGAAAGGCGGAUUAAUACCCCAUGGUCCCGCAAGGGUAAAGGUGGCUUCGGCUGCCGCUGCGAGAUUGGCUCGCGUCCUAUCAGCUUGUUGGUGAGGUAACGGCUCACCAAGGCGACGACGGGUAGCUGGUCUGAGAGGACGAUCAGUCACACUGGAACUGAGACACGGUCCAGACACCUACGGGUGGCAGCAGUCGAGAAUAAUUCACAAUGGGCGAAAGCCUGAUGGUGCAACGCCGCGUGGAGGAUGAAGGCCCUAGGGUCGUAAACUCCUGUCAUUUGAGAGUAAGACCUGGGUGUUAAUAGCACACAGGGUUGAUAGUAUCGAAAGAGGAAGGGACGGCUAACUUCGUGCCAGCAGCCGCGGUAAUACGAAGGUCCCGAGCGUUGUUCGGAAUCACUGGGCGUAAAGGGAGCGUAGGCGGUUUGGUAAGUCAGAUGUGAAAUCCCGGGGCUCAACCCCGGAACUGCAUCCGAUACUGCCUGACUUGAGUAAUGGAGGGGUAACCGGAAUUCUCGGUGUAGCAGUGAAAUGCGUGGAUAUCGAGAGGAACACUCGUGGGCGAAGGCGGGUUACUGGACAUUUACUGACGCUGA